GAUGAACGCUGGCGGCGUGCCUAACACAUGCAAGUCGAGCGAACCUUUCGGGGUGAGCGGCGGACGGGUGAGUAACGCGUGGGUAACCUGCCCUAUACACACGGAUAACGUACCGAAAGGUACGCUAAUACGGGAUAAAGUUGUUGGAUGGCAUCUUCUAACAAUCAAAGCUCCGGCGGUAUAGGAUGGACCCGCGUCUGAUUAGCUAGUUGGUGAGGUAAUGGCUCACUAAGGCGACGAUCAGUAGCCGACCUGAGAGGGUGAUCGGCCACACUGGAACUGAGACACGGUCCAGACUCCUACGGGAGGCAGCAGUGGGGAAUAUUGCACAAUGGGCGAAAGCCUGAUGCAGCAACGCCGCGUGAGCGAUGAAGGUCUUCGGAUCGUAAAGCUCUGUCCUCAAGGAAGAUAAUGACGGUACUUGAGGAGGAAGCCCCGGCUAACUACGUGCCAGCAGCCGCCGUAA
This 466-nucleotide ribosomal RNA is filed under the name uncultured bacterium. RNAcentral describes it as "partial 16S ribosomal RNA". It matches the Rfam family "Bacterial small subunit ribosomal RNA", at positions 28 to 523 of the family's 1533-position model. The record is from RNAcentral.